AACCUGGCGGCAGAAGCCGCCGCUGGUUACCGCACCCCAGCGCAGGACGGAGCCGUGCGCUGCCGGGCCCCAGCCGAGCGAGGGCGCGGGCAGGCGGCAACGGCAGCCGCGCUGCGCCCGGGGCUGCCGGCCGUUCGCCUUCCCGGGGAGGAUCAUCUGUCCUCGGCGCAGGCUCGCUGGGUCUCACGUACAAAGUGCCGCUCGCUGCCUUUCCCAGGGCCUGGCUGCAGUCCCCUGGAGCACCCCGAGUGCUUCCCGCCCACCCCUCACCGCAGCUCCGCACCUCCGAGGCGGCGGGGGGUGCGGGCCCCCGCGCCGGGGCAUCUCGCCAAAACGUCAUCGCCCCGCGGUAGCGCCCGCCGGGCCCUGCGGGGCUCCCAGGGUGAGCUCCUGCCCCAGGCGGCAGCCCUCAACCCGCAGGUGACGCUGGCGGGCGGCUCGUCCCUGCUCCUCGCCCCUUCCUGGAAACCCACGCGCUCUCCUGAGGGAAGCGCCGCCAGCGGCCGGCCCGGGCCCGGCGGGGAGGCCUGCGGGGAGACACCUGCCCGCGCUGGGGCGCACGCCCGCUCCGGCGCCCCGCCGGAGGCACCGGCUCGUCGGGAACGGGGACAAGCUCCCCCCGGGGACGCCGGCGCGCCCGCCCGCCCUCAGCACCCCGCCUGGCCCGAGGGCCGGCCUCAGCCCUGCCCCACCGUGUGUCCCGCCGACCGCCCCCCUCCCCCCCCGCUCCACGCACGUCAAAAGCAGCAGGACGGGCGGCCCCGGGCGCAAGCUGCUGGCACUUACCCCCACGGGGCGUCCGCUGGCGGGCGCGGGGCGACGGGGCCGGGCUGGCGGCUCAGCGGCGCGGCGCUGCGCUGGGCUGCGGGGCCGAGGCUGCGGCGGGCAGGAGGCGGAGUCUGGUCACAGGCUGCCCGGGCCCGGAGCUGCCCAUCCCCCAGCCAGGCCCUCCGCCCCCUCUACCUCCGUGGUCACCGGCGUUGCUUAACUCGGCGUCAAGCCGCUACCACUUUGUCCCCCCUGAAAGACGGAAUAUUUUUUUUAAGAAAAAAAAAAGGAAAGGCACCAGCUGCCGUACGCGCCACCGCCUCCACCGCGCAUGCGCCUCCCUCCUCCCGCGGCCGGCGUGGCGGGGGGGCAGAGGGGCGGGCCCGGCGGUAG
Molecule: long non-coding RNA, 1161 nt
Filed under: Falco tinnunculus (common kestrel)
Lineage: Eukaryota; Metazoa; Chordata; Aves; Falconiformes; Falconidae
Description: lncRNA (ENSFTIG00000009457.1)
Source: RNAcentral